CCUACGGGAUGCAGCAGUGAGGAAUAUUGGUCAAUGGGCUUACGCCUGAACCAGCCAAGUCGCGUGAGGGAAGACUGCCCUAUGGGUUGUAAACCUCUUUUGUCAGGGAGCAACGCCGGCUACGUGUAGCCGGACUGAGAGUACCUGAAGAAAAAGCAUCGGCUAACUCCGUGCCAGCAGCCGCGGUAAUACGGAGGAUGCGAGCGUUAUCCGGAUUUAUUGGGUUUAAAGGGUGCGUAGGCGGAAUGCCAAGUCAGCGGGAAAAUCGCGGGGCUCAACCUCGCUCCGCCGUUGAAACUGGCGUUCUUGAGGGGGCGAGAAGUAUGAGGAAUGCGUGGUGUAGCGGUGAAAUGCAUAGAUAUCACGCAGAACUCCGAUUGCGAAGGCAGCAUACCGGCGCCCAACUGACGCUGAAGCACGAAAGCGUGGGUAUCGAACAGGAUUAGAUACCCCAGUAGUC
RNAcentral lists this ribosomal RNA (460 nucleotides) under uncultured bacterium. RNAcentral describes it as "partial 16S ribosomal RNA". It matches the Rfam family "Bacterial small subunit ribosomal RNA", at positions 338 to 795 of the family's 1533-position model. The record is from RNAcentral.